RNAcentral lists this long non-coding RNA (351 nucleotides) under Arachis ipaensis. RNAcentral's name for it is "long non-coding RNA (AIPA_LNC002320)". The record is from RNAcentral. Lineage: Eukaryota; Viridiplantae; Streptophyta; Magnoliopsida; Fabales; Fabaceae.
GGUAAAUGUGAACCGGUGGUGGUGGUGGUGGUGAUGAGUACUUGUAGGGUUUCUUUGGUGGUGGUGGAGGAGAUGAGUAAUGGUAUGGCGGCGGCGGUGGUGAUGAGUAAUGGUAAGGCUUCUUUGGUGGUGGAGGUGGAGAAUGGUAGUAGUAAGGCUUCUUAGGUGGUGGAGGAGGAGAAUGGUAGUAAUAUGGUGGUGGUGGUGAAGACACCGGCGGAGGUGGAGAAUGGUAGUAGUAGGGUGGUGGAGGUGAAGACACCGGUGGUGGUGGAGAAUGAUAGUAGUAAGGCUUCUUAGGGGGUGGUGGUGGAGAGUGAUAGUAGUAAGGUGCCUUCUUAGGCGGCGGAG